This is a long non-coding RNA of Sinocyclocheilus anshuiensis, 86 nucleotides long. RefSeq lists it as uncharacterized. The transcript is spliced from 3 exons. NCBI's taxonomy places the organism in Eukaryota, Metazoa, Chordata, Actinopteri, Cypriniformes, Cyprinidae. The record is from RefSeq and is a predicted model, not a curated record.
UGUACCUUUUAGGUACUAAUAUGGACACUUUAGGUACCAAUAUGUUCUCUUUAGGUACUAAUAUGGACUCUUUAGGUACAAAGGUG